GUCAAGCUUCCAAGAAAAGCCCUACACCCGUUAAGGCAUGAUGGCCUGUACCCGAAACCGACACAGGUGGGGUGGUAGAGAAUACCGAGGGGCGCGAGGUAACUCUCUCUAAGGAACUCGGCAAAAUGGCCCCGUAACUUCGGGAGAAGGGGUGCCACCGCAAGGUGGUCGCAGUGAAGAGGCCCAGGCGACUGUUUACCAAAAACACAGGUCUCCGCUAAGUCGCAAGACGAUGUAUGGGGGCUGACGCCUGCCCAGUGCCGGAAGGUUAAGGAAGCUGGUCAGCGCAAGCGAAGCUGGCGACUGAAGCCCCGGUGAACGGCGGCCGUAACUAUAACGGUCCUAAGGUAGCGAAAUUCCUUGUCGGGUAAGUUCCGACCCGCACGAAAGGCGUAACGAUCUGGGCGCUGUCUCGGAGAGAGGCUCGGCGAAAUAGAAUUGUCUGUGAAGAUGCGGACUACGUGCACCCGGACAGAAAGACCCUAUGAAGCUUUACUGUAGCUUGGUAUCGUGCCCGGGCUCUGAAUGCGCAGGAUAGGUGGGAGGCUUUGAUCCAUUGCUUGUGGGUGAUGGUGAGCCAACGGUGAGAUACCACUCUUUCAGAGCUAGGGUUCUAACGGUCACCCGUUAUCCGGGGACCGGACAAUAUCAGGUGGGCAGUUUGACUGGGGCGGUCGCCUCCUAAAAGGUAACGGAGGCGCGCAAAGGUUCCCUCAGGCUGGUUGGAAAUCAGCCGAUGAGUGUAAAGGCAGAAGGGAGCUUGACUGUGAGACCUACAAGUCGAACAGGGACGAAAGUCGGCCUUAGUGAUCCGACGGUUCUGAGUGGAAGGGCCGUCGCUCAACGGAUAAAAGUUACUCUAGGAUAACAGGCUGAUCUCCCCCAAGAGUUCACAUCGACGGGGAGGUUUGGCACCCCUCUCGGCUCAUCGCAACCUGGGGCUGAAGUCGGUCCCAAGGGUUGGGCUGUUCGCCCAUUAAAGCGGUACGCGAGCUGGGUUCAGAACGUCGUGAGACAGUUCGGUCCAUAUCCGGUGCAUGCGCAGGAAUAUUGAGAGGAUUUCUCCCUAGUACGAGAGGACCGGGAGGAACGCACCUCUGGUGUACCAGUUAUCGUGCCAACGGUAAACGCUGGGUAGCCAUGUGCGGAGUGGAUAACCGCUGAAAGCAUCUAAGUGGGAAGCCCACCUCAAGACGAGUAUUCCCAUGGCGUUAGCCAGUAAGGUCACGGGCAGAACACCCGUUGAUAGGCUCUACGUGGAAGCCGGGUAACCGGUGAAGCGGAGGAGUACUAAUAGACCGAGGGCUUGAC
RNAcentral lists this ribosomal RNA (1311 nucleotides) under metagenome. RNAcentral describes it as "bacterial LSU rRNA". It matches the Rfam family "Bacterial large subunit ribosomal RNA", at positions 1599 to 2925 of the family's 2925-position model. The record is from RNAcentral.